RNAcentral lists this ribosomal RNA (253 nucleotides) under uncultured bacterium. RNAcentral's name for it is "partial 16S ribosomal RNA". It matches the Rfam family "Bacterial small subunit ribosomal RNA", at positions 524 to 776 of the family's 1533-position model. The record is from RNAcentral.
UACGUAGGGGGCAAGCGUUAUCCGGAUUUACUGGGUGUAAAGGGAGCGUAGACGGCAGCGCAAGUCUGGAGUGAAAUGCCGGGGCCCAACCCCGGAACUGCUUUGGAAACUGUGCAGCUCGAGUGCAGGAGAGGUAAGCGGAAUUCCUAGUGUAGCGGUGAAAUGCGUAGAUAUUAGGAGGAACACCAGUGGCGAAGGCAGCUUACUGGACUGUAACUGACGUUGAGGCUCGAAAGCGUGGGGAGCAAACAGG